This 1842-nucleotide long non-coding RNA is filed under the name Zea mays. Its description in RNAcentral is "long non-coding RNA (ZMAY_LNC001670)". Lineage: Eukaryota; Viridiplantae; Streptophyta; Magnoliopsida; Poales; Poaceae. The record is from RNAcentral.
UUAAGUUGAUCAUGGUAUGCGGGUUGAUGAAUUAUAAAGUAAAUUGGACAUAAUAGGUCAGAGGACACUUGCCUUCACCAAACAGAUGCUCAGGGUCUUCAAUCUCGUAGAACACGAAGAACUGGAUCAUUUAGUCGCCGAAGCUUGACCGUCGAUUCCUCGAAGCCCGAGAACAGAUCACGUUCUAUUUGCGACAUGCGGCGAAUACGAACAGACACAAGCAAACAAACAUAUUCAUGCAUAAGAACAUUAUGCCAUACAAAUGAAAACAAUAUAAAAACGCGUAAUAUAAAAUAGAGAUCGCUUCUACGGUCACGCGAGGAAAAGAAAAACGCGACAGUCGGAGCUACGGUCGAGAAGUUAUCGCGUUUACGCUACACAAGUACUAGUUAAAACAUUUGAUUCGACGUUAUCAAAUAUAAAUUAUAUCUACUAUUUAGUUUCAAUUAAUCUGCAACACUAGCAACUGUCAAUUAAAUAAGUAAUUUAAUUAACACGAGAGAUACUAAGCGAGGCAAAAUUACGACGCUCGAAACAGCACGACAGCGUGAAUAACGACGCGCGGACAUGUGCAGGAUAGCAUGCAGACGACGCAUGAAACAGUGCGCGCGACAGCACACGAACGAUGUGUGACAACGCACACGACAACAUGCGACGGAUAGCGAUGAAGCACGCAGACAGCACGUGCCACGCGAGAAUCAUUAACGUAUACCGCAUUUAUACUAAAUAUGCAUUAAACUACAAGUAUUUAAGUUAGUCUUAAUAUGUCAGCAUUUAUAUUUGUAAAAGCACUAGUUAAAAACUAUAACUAGGUUUAACUAGCACACUAAAUUAAUUAACAUUGAUUAAACAAAUGCUUAAUUAAUUACUUAAAACAUAUGACAUGGUGAAUGAAAUUUUUAACGCAUAGAUGAUGUUAUAAGGAAGCUAACGCAACACGAAUGGAUCGAAAUAGAUUUAUAAUGCAAAAGCUAAUAUAUAUUUAAUAAUUUAUAUCUAAUGCGGCGUGGCCUGUUGCGAUUAGCUGGAGCCACACCACAUGAAGGGCCAUGAAUUUUGUGUCUAUAUAGGAUCUUUGGAGGAUAGUUUCUCUCUAAUCGCAUGCAGCCAGGGAAGAAAAUACGACAUGCAAGGUAGGGCCCAUGUACUGUUUUUCCUUUUGUUACUGCAUGCACAUCACACGCAUGGGAGAGAACAUGCACUGGGCCCCACGCGACAGUUCUUUCUUCAAGUUUUUCCUGCAACCGCAGAACACGCACGACACCUCUCCUUCUCCACUUCGCAUGCACACACGGUUACUGCAUGAGCAUUUUCUUCAUCCAAAAAGAAUCAGCCAUGGCGCCGGAGGAGAAGGCAAACAACCGACGUGGCUAGGCGGGCGGCAUGGCGGCUCGCUGAUGGGAGUGGAAGCAGCAUAGGGACGUGACUAUGUGCCUAGGAGACAGGAGUUCGGUCGGCUGGGUCUGCUGCUCGCUGGCAGUAGGCAGGUCGAGGGCUCGACCACGUCACUGAGCACAAGGAAAGGAACUAGCUGCGGCACCAGGACGCAGGCAGGGGUUUCGCCGGCUGCCAGGCUGCAACGCGCGCAUGGAGAGAGAAGGGGAGAGGAGAUCCAAGGGAGAAGACGACUGCGACUUAAUAGUUAACAUGAAAGAAACAUACCAGAGAGAACUCACCGGAGAACACCGGAGAAACAUGCCAGAGACUCGUUGGCGGCAUGGGGAGGCUCCAGUGCUGUGCGGUCGUCGACACGAGCGGGGCGGCGAAGGCGAUGUGAUGUGUGGGCUAUUUCGGUCCUAGGGCAUCGUGGGCACGCUCGAUCUGGAGGGGGCAGUUUUUAAG